RNAcentral lists this transfer RNA (76 nucleotides) under Chloroflexi bacterium RBG_16_70_13. RNAcentral describes it as "tRNA-Val". It matches the Rfam family "tRNA". From Rfam's summary of the family: Transfer RNA (tRNA) molecules are approximately 80 nucleotides in length. The record is from RNAcentral. RNAcentral also lists the same sequence under 12 other names. Lineage: Bacteria; Bacillati; Chloroflexota.
GGGCGAUUGGCUCAGUGGUUAGAGCACGCGGUUCACAUCCGCGGGGUCACUGGUUCGAAUCCAGUAUCGCCCACCA